Molecule: ribosomal RNA, 253 nt
Filed under: uncultured bacterium
Lineage: Bacteria
Description: partial 16S ribosomal RNA
Rfam family: Bacterial small subunit ribosomal RNA
Source: RNAcentral
UACGUAGGGUGCAAGCGUUAAUCGGAAUUACUGGGCGUAAAGCGUACGCAGGCGGUUUUGUAAGCCAGAUGUGAAAGCCCCGGGCUUAACCUGGGAAUGGCAUUUGGGACUGCAAGGCUUGAGUGCGGCAGAGGAGACUGGAAUUCCUGGUGUAGCAGUGAAAUGCGUAGAUAUGACAUAGAACACCAAUUGCGAAGGCAGCUUACUACACAGUUAUUGACACUGAGGCACGAAAGCGUGGGGAUCAAACAGG